Molecule: ribosomal RNA, 1451 nt
Filed under: uncultured organism
Description: SSU rRNA
Rfam family: Bacterial small subunit ribosomal RNA
Source: RNAcentral
GAUGAACGCUAUCGACAGGCUUAACACAUGCAAGUCGAGGGGCAGCACAGGUAGCAAUACCGGGUGGCGACCGGCGCACGGGUGAGUAACGCGUAUGCAACUUACCUAUCAGAGGGGGAUAACCCGGCGAAAGUCGGACUAAUACCGCAUGAAGCAGGGGCCCCGCAUGGGGAUAUUUGCUAAAGAUUCAUCGCUGAUAGAUAGGCAUGCGUUCCAUUAGGCAGUUGGCGGGGUAACGGCCCACCAAACCGACGAUGGAUAGGGGUUCUGAGAGGAAGGUCCCCCACAUUGGUACUGAGACACGGACCAAACUCCUACGGGAGGCAGCAGUGAGGAAUAUUGGUCAAUGGCCGAGAGGCUGAACCAGCCAAGUCGCGUGAGGGAUGAAGGUUCUAUGGAUCGUAAACCUCUUUUAUAAGGGAAUAAAGUGCGGGACGUGUCCCGUUUUGUAUGUACCUUAUGAAUAAGGAUCGGCUAACUCCGUGCCAGCAGCCGCGGUAAUACGGAGGAUCCGAGCGUUAUCCGGAUUUAUUGGGUUUAAAGGGUGCGUAGGCGGCCUUUUAAGUCAGCGGUGAAAGUCUGUGGCUCAACCAUAGAAUUGCCGUUGAAACUGGGAGGCUUGAGUAUGUUUGAGGCAGGCGGAAUGCGUGGUGUAGCGGUGAAAUGCAUAGAUAUCACGCAGAACCCCGAUUGCGAAGGCAGCCUGCCAAGCCAUUACUGACGCUGAUGCACGAAAGCGUGGGGAUCAAACAGGAUUAGAUACCCUGGUAGUCCACGCAGUAAACGAUGAUCACUAGCUGUUUGCGAUACACUGUAAGCGGCACAGCGAAAGCGUUAAGUGAUCCACCUGGGGAGUACGCCGGCAACGGUGAAACUCAAAGGAAUUGACGGGGGCCCGCACAAGCGGAGGAACAUGUGGUUUAAUUCGAUGAUACGCGAGGAACCUUACCCGGGUUUGAACGCAUUCGGACCGAGGUGGAAACACCUUUUCUAGCAAUAGCCGUUUGCGAGGUGCUGCAUGGUUGUCGUCAGCUCGUGCCGUGAGGUGUCGGCUUAAGUGCCAUAACGAGCGCAACCCUUGCCACUAGUUACUAACAGGUAAAGCUGAGGACUCUGGUGGGACUGCCAGCGUAAGCUGCGAGGAAGGCGGGGAUGACGUCAAAUCAGCACGGCCCUUACAUCCGGGGCGACACACGUGUUACAAUGGCGUGGACAAAGGGAAGCCACCUGGCGACAGGGAGCGAAUCCCCAAACCACGUCUCAGUUCGGAUCGGAGUCUGCAACCCGACUCCGUGAAGCUGGAUUCGCUAGUAAUCGCGCAUCAGCCAUGGCGCGGUGAAUACGUUCCCGGGCCUUGUACACACCGCCCGUCAAGCCAUGGGAGCCGGGGGUACCUGAAGUCCGUAACCGCGAGGAUCGGCCUAGGGUAAAACUGGUGACUGGGGCUAAAU